GGUGGUAUGGCCAAGUGGUAAGGCAGGAGCCUGCAAAGCUCCCAUUCCUGAGUUCGAAUCUCAGUGCCACCU
This 72-nucleotide transfer RNA is filed under the name Candidatus Anoxychlamydiales bacterium. RNAcentral's name for it is "tRNA-Cys". It matches the Rfam family "tRNA". Rfam says of the family: Transfer RNA (tRNA) molecules are approximately 80 nucleotides in length. The record is from RNAcentral. Lineage: Bacteria; Pseudomonadati; Chlamydiota; Chlamydiia; Candidatus Anoxychlamydiales. RNAcentral also lists the same sequence under 1 other name.